AUUGAACGCUGGCGGCAUGCUUUACACAUGCAAGUCGAACGGUAACAGGCCGCAAGGUGCUGACGAGUGGCGAACGGGUGAGUAAUGCAUCGGAACGUGCCCAGUCGUGGGGGAUAACUACUCGAAAGAGUAGCUAAUACCUCAUACGAUCUAUGGUAUAAAGCGGGGGACCGUAAGGCUUCGCGCGAUUGGUGCGGCCGAUUUCAGAUUAGGUAGUUGGUGAGGUAAAGGCUCACCAAGCCAACGAUCUGCAGCUGGUCUGAGAGGACGACCAGCCACACUGGGACUGAGACACGGCCCAGACUCCUACGGGAGGCAGCAGUGGGGAAUUUUGGACAAUGGGCGCAAGCCUGAUCCAGCAAUGCCGCGUGAAGGAAGGAGGCCUUCGGGUUGUAAACUGCUUUUGUACGGAACGAAACGGCGCUGGUUAAUACCCGGGGCUAAUGACGGUACCGUAAGAAUAAGCACCGGCUAACUACGUG
Molecule: ribosomal RNA, 482 nt
Filed under: uncultured bacterium
Lineage: Bacteria
Description: partial 16S ribosomal RNA
Rfam family: Bacterial small subunit ribosomal RNA
Source: RNAcentral